AAAAAGCCAAAGAAAAAUCCAAGACUGCAGCAGAAACUAAAAAGGAGAAAAGGAAACACAAACUUCCAGUUUCAAAGCCAGAGCCUGCAGCUGCACAGCACAAGAGGAAAUCAGCGCCUGAGAGGACAGCGUCAGCUGUCAGGAGCAAGGCCAAGGCUGCCAAACACCGGAAAGGUAAGUUCAGUUUAAAACCUGCUAACCUUCGGGCAUAAAAUACCAUAAAACGCUUUAAAAAGUACACAAAUUAA
Molecule: long non-coding RNA, 248 nt
Organism: Austrofundulus limnaeus
Lineage: Eukaryota; Metazoa; Chordata; Actinopteri; Cyprinodontiformes; Rivulidae
Exons: 4
Source: RefSeq, a predicted model, not a curated record